UAGGGAAUCUUCCGCAAUGGACGCAAGUCUGACGGAGCAACGCCGCGUGAGUGAAGAAGGAUUUCGGUACGUAAAACUCUGAUGUUAGAGAAGAACAGCGCAUAGAGUAACUGUUAUGCGUGUGACGGUAUCUAACCAGAAAGCCACGGCUAACUACGUGCCAGCAGCCGCGGUAAUACGUAGGUGGCAAGCGUUGUCCGGAUUUAUUGGGCGUAAAGCGAGCGCAGGCGGUCAAUUAAGUCUGAUGUGAAAGCCCCCGGCUCAACCGGGGAGGGUCAUUGGAAACUGGUUGACUUGAGUGCAGAAGAGGAGAGUGGAAUUCCAUGUGUAGCGGUGAAAUGCGUAGAUAUAUGGAGGAACACCAGUGGCGAAGGCGACUCUCUGGUCUGUAACUGACGCGGAGGCUCGAAAGCGUGGGUAGCAAACAGG
This 429-nucleotide ribosomal RNA is filed under the name Bacteroidota bacterium. Its description in RNAcentral is "Bacteroidetes bacterium partial 16S ribosomal RNA". It matches the Rfam family "Bacterial small subunit ribosomal RNA", at positions 355 to 776 of the family's 1533-position model. The record is from RNAcentral. Lineage: Bacteria; Pseudomonadati; Bacteroidota.